This 103-nucleotide microRNA precursor is filed under the name Marmota monax (woodchuck). The record is from RNAcentral. Lineage: Eukaryota; Metazoa; Chordata; Mammalia; Rodentia; Sciuridae.
AGUGCAAUUGCUGGGUUGUAUAGUAAGUAUAUGUCUAGUUUUCAAAAAGGUUGACGAACUAUUUUCUAGAGUGGCUGUUCUGUUUUACAUCUCCACCAGCAAC